AAGCGCUUGCAAUCAGACUUGCAUGCAGUUGAUCAUCCGAUGUUCUCACCGGUGCACUCAAUUGCGUACAGGCCAGCAUCGGUUUUGGUGGUUGUAUAAAGGCCUAAGGAAUGUAGCUUCCUUCGGGGAGUGUUAUAGCCCUAGGCGCAAUGCAGCCCGCUGGGACCGAGGACCGCGCUUCGGCUAGGAUGUUGGCGUAAUGGUUGCAAGCGA
Molecule: ribosomal RNA, 213 nt
Filed under: Helotiaceae sp.
Lineage: Eukaryota; Fungi; Ascomycota; Leotiomycetes; Helotiales; Helotiaceae
Description: partial large subunit ribosomal RNA
Source: RNAcentral